AACGUAGGAGACAAACGUUAUCCGGAGUUACUGGGCGUAAAGGGCGUGUAGGUGGUAUCGUAAGUCUGGCGUGAAAUUUCUCGGCUUAACCGAGGCAGGUCGUCGGAUACUGCGAGGCUAGAGGACGGUAGAGGCGUGUGGAAUUCCGGGUGUAGUGGUGAAAUGCGUAGAUAUCGGGAGGAACACCAGUGGCGAAGGCGACUUUCUGGCCUGUUCCUGACGCUGAGGCGCGAAAGCUAGGGGAGCAAACGGG
This 253-nucleotide ribosomal RNA is filed under the name uncultured bacterium. Its description in RNAcentral is "partial 16S ribosomal RNA". It matches the Rfam family "Bacterial small subunit ribosomal RNA", at positions 524 to 776 of the family's 1533-position model. The record is from RNAcentral.